CGAGGAGGUGCCCGCAAGGUGGCUCUGGGUUUCGGGAUAACAGCCAAAGACGGUUGAUCAGUUCGUGGAUUCAUUACACGGGGAUUAGAUGUAUGUACAAGGGAAACAGUAGUGGACUCAAAACUGGGGGACGGAGGUCUAUAUGGAAUUGACCCCAGGAACCGCAGCUGCUUACCUCUGACCGGGGUCCCAGGGAACAUGGCUGAGGCACACCAGGCCUCGAGCUUGCUGUCUUCACUCAGUUCCGACGGGGCAGAAGUGGAGCUCAGCUCCUCAGUGUGGCAGGAGAUUUACCUCUCUGCCCUACGCUCCUGGAAAAGGAAUCUCUGGCGUGUCUGGGUGAGGAGAGCUAUUGGCUGAUUUCCUUCUGGGGAACCAGAAUGACUUUCUUGCUGGUGUGGUCCCGGCAACGCC
This 414-nucleotide long non-coding RNA is filed under the name Rattus norvegicus (Norway rat). Its description in RNAcentral is "long non-coding RNA NONRATT002607". Lineage: Eukaryota; Metazoa; Chordata; Mammalia; Rodentia; Muridae. The record is from RNAcentral.